UACGGAAGGGGCAAGCGUUGUUCGGAAUCAUUGGGCGUAAAGGGCGCGUAGGUGGUUCUGUAUGUCUACCGUGAAAGCAUACAGCUCAACUGUAUUUUGUCGGUAGAAACUGCAGGACUUGAGGCUGGGAGGGGCUGGUGGAAUUCCCUGUGUAGCGGUGAAAUGCGUAGAGAUGGGGGAGAACACUCGUGGUGAAGGCGGCCAGCUAGACCAGUUCUGACACUGAGGCGCGACAGCGUGGGGAGCAAACAGG
This 253-nucleotide ribosomal RNA is filed under the name uncultured bacterium. Its description in RNAcentral is "partial 16S ribosomal RNA". It matches the Rfam family "Bacterial small subunit ribosomal RNA", at positions 524 to 776 of the family's 1533-position model. The record is from RNAcentral.